GACGAACGCUGGCGGCGUGCUUAACACAUGCAAGUCGAACGGAAAGGCCCUGCUUGCAGGGUACUCGAGUGGCGAACGGGUGAGUAACACGUGGGUGAUCUGCCCUGCACUUCGGGAUAAGCCUGGGAAACUGGGUCUAAUACCGGAUAUGACCUUCCAUGUAGUGUGGGGGGUGGAAAGAUUUAUCGGUGUGGGAUGAGCCCGCGGCCUAUCAGCUUGUUGGUGGGGUAAUGGCCUACCAAGGCGUCGACGGGUAGCCGGCCUGAGAGGGUGGACGGCCACAUUGGGACUGAGAUACGGCCCAGACUCCUACGGGAGGCAGCAGUGGGGAAUAUUGCACAAUGGGCGGAAGCCUGAUGCAGCGACGCCGCGUGGGGGGUGACGGCCUUCGGGUUGUAAACCUCUUUCGACAGGGACGAAGCUUCGGUGACGGUACCUGUAUAAGAAGCACCGGCUAACUACGUG
RNAcentral lists this ribosomal RNA (465 nucleotides) under uncultured bacterium. RNAcentral's name for it is "partial 16S ribosomal RNA". It matches the Rfam family "Bacterial small subunit ribosomal RNA", at positions 28 to 507 of the family's 1533-position model. The record is from RNAcentral.